UACGUAGGCAGCGAGCGUUGUUCGGAGUUACUGGGCGUAAAGCGUGCGUAGGCGGUGUCCUAAGUCUGUUGUGAAAUCUCCCGGCUUAACCGGGAGGGUGCGGCGGAAACUGGGAUGCUGGAGUGCGGGAGAGGUAAGCGGAAUUCCCGGUGUAGCGGUGAAGUGCGUAGAUAUCGGGAGGAACACCUGCGAUGUAGAUGGCUUACUGGACCGUAACUGACGCUGAGGCACGAAAGCGUGGGUAGCAAACAGG
RNAcentral lists this ribosomal RNA (253 nucleotides) under uncultured bacterium. Its description in RNAcentral is "partial 16S ribosomal RNA". It matches the Rfam family "Bacterial small subunit ribosomal RNA", at positions 524 to 776 of the family's 1533-position model. The record is from RNAcentral.